Molecule: microRNA precursor, 110 nt
Filed under: Glycine max (soybean)
Lineage: Eukaryota; Viridiplantae; Streptophyta; Magnoliopsida; Fabales; Fabaceae
Description: MIR1520 microRNA precursor family
Rfam family: MIR1520 microRNA precursor family
Source: Rfam by way of RNAcentral
CUUUUAUUGGAUAUCGACCGUCACAUGUCGUGAUUUUAUUGAAGAUUGACGUUAAUUAGGUGCACAAAAUUAAUGUCUAAUAAAAGCGUGAUAUAUGACAAUCAACGUUG